This 428-nucleotide unclassified non-coding RNA is filed under the name soil metagenome. RNAcentral's name for it is "partial contains 5.8S ribosomal RNA, internal transcribed spacer 2, and large subunit ribosomal RNA". The stretch from base 1 to 120 matches the Rfam family "5.8S ribosomal RNA", at positions 35 to 154 of the family's 154-position model. The record is from RNAcentral.
GAUGAAGAACGCAGCGAAAUGCGAUAGGUAAUGUGAAUUGCAGAUUUCAGUGAAUCAUCGAAUCUUUGAACGCACCUUGCGCCUUGUGGUAUUCCACAAGGCAUGCCCGUUUGAGUAUCAUUAAAUCAUCAACUCUAAAACCUUUGUGGUUUUUUUUAGAGCUUGGUCUUGAGGGUUUUGCAGGCUUUUUUUUUUUUUUUCGAGUUUUCUCCCUUUAAAUGCAUUAGCGAGACUUCCCUAUGCUGAACCGUCUCUUUGACGUGAUAAUUAUCUGCGUCGAAUUUUGGUUCUCGUUGGGCUUGCUUCUAAUCGUCUGUUAAAGACAAAACGGAUUUGGGUGCAUAUAUGCGCCUUUUUCCAAAACCUUUUUUUGAUCUCAAAUCGGGUAGGACUACCCGCUGAACUUAAGCAUAUCAAUAAGCGGAGGA